Molecule: ribosomal RNA, 305 nt
Filed under: uncultured bacterium
Lineage: Bacteria
Description: bacterial SSU rRNA
Rfam family: Bacterial small subunit ribosomal RNA
Source: RNAcentral
ACCUACGGGGCGCAGCAGUGGGGAAUAUUGCACAAUGGGGGAAACCCUGAUGCAGCGACGCCGCGUGAGUGAAGAAGUAUUUCGGUAUGUAAAGCUCUAUCAGCAGGAACGAGACAAGACGGUACCUGACUAAGAAGCCCCGGCUAACUACGUGCCAGCAGCCGCGGUAAUACGUAGGGGGCAAGCGUUAUCCGGAUUUAUUGGGUGUAAAGGGCGUGUAGGCGGGAAUGCAAGUCAGAUGUGAAAACUAUGGGCUCAACCCAUAGCCUGCAUUUGAAACUGUAUUUCUUGAGUGCUGGAGAGGC